This 1658-nucleotide long non-coding RNA is filed under the name Sus scrofa (pig). RNAcentral's name for it is "lncRNA (ENSSSCG00070029021.1)". Lineage: Eukaryota; Metazoa; Chordata; Mammalia; Artiodactyla; Suidae. The record is from RNAcentral.
UAUCUCCUUGGGGACCUUGAGUCAGAGCUAGAGUGGCCCAAGGACCUGGGUUUCUCCUCCUCUUCUUGCACGGCUGCCUCUCUGGGGCUCUCAUCCAGCUAAGUCCGCGGGCUUCGUGAAGGGCCUUCAGGGCUCAGGAGCCAGGCCCUGAGAGAGUCAAAGCCACUGUGGCAGUAGAAGGAGCCCACCGGGACCCAGGGAGCUGGGGUGGAUGGGCCCUGCUCACCUCCGGGGGUCUCAGGCAUUCACUCUGCCAUUGAGUUCCCCGGGGUAGCUGCUGCUGCUGCUGCUGCUGCUGCUGCUGCUGCUGCUGCCUGCUGUUCCUGUUCCUCCUGCUCCUCCUCCUGCUCCUGCUGCUGCUGCUGCUGCUGCUGGGAGGUGGGGCAGGGGCAGGCAUGUUCUGGACUGUGUGUGUUAGUGGUUUGGAGUCCAUGGGACAGGUGCAGAUGCCAGUGGCUCCCUCCAUCCCCACAGACAAGAUGACCUUGGUGAGGGCCAUGUGUUCAGGAGACCCAUCUAGGGAGCGCCCCCUGGGAGUGGGUCUGUACUCUAGCCUCAAGCCACACCCCGACCCCCACUCUUUGGUCGGUUCGUUCCUUCACGUGUGCCCGUGCCGGCGUGUGGGUGCCCGUGCCGUGCAUCGCAUGUGGAGCUUACGUCGAUCUGGGUGUUAUUGAACGUGUACCCGUUAUUUAACAUACAGGGGGCGAGUGUCCUUUCUCUGGUAGUUUUCCCCCGUCACCGCCUUGGAGGUGCCACCGUGGAGAGCCCUUCCUCCCGGCCAAAGCCCAAGAAGCCCUCACCGUGCCGCAAGACGGCAGCUCCCAAGGUGUCCCGCUGCCUUCCAAACCCCCGUCUGCAGCGGGCACCCUGCGUGGUGGUUGUGCGCGAAUGCUUCCGGGGUUGAAUGCGGGUGGCAGCAGGCAAGAAGACCCAGAGGCCCGUGUCCAUUUGGGCUGCGCCCCGCACAGGCUCAGGGAGUGGUAGAGGCGCUUGUGCAUGUGGCUGCUCUCACAGCGUCACAGGUUCCCCCGGCCUCGGCGCGUCUGUGCAGAGGGGACGCCCCGUCCUGCUGGGUCUCGGUCCUGUCCAUUUCUUUCCUGACAGCUCCUCAGGGUAGGGUGCCCUGGUCUGUGCCUGAGAGCAGGAGCGUAGGGUAUGUCGGCUGUCCCCUUCUCUUUGGACGCUGGGCUUCUCGCCUGUCCUUUCCUCUUCCUCUUGCGUCUUUGACGGAGCUGGCUAUGAGGGGGCGCGGGGCACGGGGUCCUGGUUGCCAGUGUGCGAGUGUGCGUGGCCCGUUGUGUCGGGCGUCAGCGUUUGCCCAGAGGAAAGCAGUAGGCUCGAUGUUACCUCGGCCGCGUCCCAGGGCAGCUGCCCUCACCCCCGGAGAGUCAGUGCGGUGGAUCUGUGUGCGGCCCGAGAGGAGACAAGUCGGUGCCCGUUUACCCGCGGGUCAUGAGAGCUGCUGGGUGUCAGGCAGAGUGGAAGGAGAGGAGGAGAAGGGAAGUCGGGGACGUCGGUCAUGUCUAGGCGCUGGUGUUCUGGGUGAGUGAGUGCCCUUUGUUCUCUUCCUUCUCCUCUUCCAAAGGGUUCAUUUCAUCACAGGGAAAAGGUCAGUGGUUCUGGUGGUUCAGCAAGCCUCAAGAAGGGGAGACUCC